This is a long non-coding RNA of Dermochelys coriacea (leatherback sea turtle), 229 nucleotides long. RefSeq lists it as uncharacterized. Lineage: Eukaryota; Metazoa; Chordata; Testudines; Dermochelyidae. The record is from RefSeq and is a predicted model, not a curated record. The transcript has 4 exons.
CAGCGAUCGAUCCAGCAGGGGUAGAUUUAUUGGGUCUAGUCUAGACGCGAUAAAUCAACCCGCGAGCAGUCUCCCGUCGACUCCUGUACUCCACCGCCACGAGAGGUGCAGACGAAGUCCACGGGAGAGCGGCAGCAGUCGAUUCACUGCGGUGAAGACACCACGGUGAGUAGGUCUAAGUAUGUCAACUUCAGCUACAUUAUUCAUAAAAUUCAGCUAAAUUAUUCAC